GAAAUGCGAUAAGUAAUGUGAAUUGCAGAAUUCCGUGAAUCAUCGAAUCUUUGAACGCACAUUGCGCCCUCUGGCAUUCCGGGGGGCAUGCCUGUCCGAGCGUCAUUACGCACCCUCAAGCCCGGCUUGUGUGAUGGGCCCUGGCGUCUCGUUCGCGAGACGGGCCCGAAAGGCAGCGGCGGCGUCGACCUGAUGAGCCCGAGCGUAUGGGGACUCUUGUCACACGUUUGCGGUGCGGACCGGCGCCUGCUUGACUUUUCUGAUUAUCCAGGUUGACCUCGGAUCAGGUAGGGAUACCCGCUGAACUUAAGC
RNAcentral lists this unclassified non-coding RNA (312 nucleotides) under plant metagenome. Its description in RNAcentral is "partial contains 5.8S ribosomal RNA, internal transcribed spacer 2, and large subunit ribosomal RNA". The stretch from base 1 to 105 matches the Rfam family "5.8S ribosomal RNA", at positions 50 to 154 of the family's 154-position model. The record is from RNAcentral.